GACGAACGCUGGCGGCGUGCCUAAUACAUGCAAGUCGAACGCAGAGGGGACGGGUGAGUACCACGUGGGUAACCUCCCAUCAGGGGGGAUAACACUUGGAAACAGGUGCUAAACCGAUACUGAUGGAUGGACCCGCGGUGCAUUAGCUAGUUGGUGGGGUGACGGCGCACCAAGGCCACGAUGCAUAGCCGACCUGGUAGGGUGGUAGACCACACUGGGACGGAGACACGGCCCAGACGCCUGCGGUGUCCAGCAGUAGGGAAUCUUCGGCAAUAGACGAAAGUCUGACCGAGUAACGCCGCGUGAGGUAAGAAGGUGUUCGGAUCUUGAAACUCUGUUGUUAGAUAAGCGGUAUCUAACCAGAAAGCCACGGCUAACUACGUGCCAGCAGCCGCGGUAAUUC
This 403-nucleotide ribosomal RNA is filed under the name uncultured bacterium. Its description in RNAcentral is "partial 16S ribosomal RNA". It matches the Rfam family "Bacterial small subunit ribosomal RNA", at positions 28 to 526 of the family's 1533-position model. The record is from RNAcentral.